Molecule: ribosomal RNA, 460 nt
Filed under: uncultured bacterium
Lineage: Bacteria
Description: partial 16S ribosomal RNA
Rfam family: Bacterial small subunit ribosomal RNA
Source: RNAcentral
CCUACGUGUGGCAGCAGUGAGGAAUCUUGGUCAAUGGACGCAAGUCUGAACCAGCCCUUCCGCGUGCAGGCAGACGGCUCUAUGAGUAGUAAACUGCUUUUGUACGAGGGUAAACGCAGAUACGCGUAUCUGUCUGAAAGUAUCGUACGAAUAAGGAUCGGCUAACUCCGUGCCCGCAGCCGCGGUAAUACGGAGGAUUCACUCGUUAUCCGGAUUUAUUGGGUUUAAAGGGUGCGUAGGCGGUCGGAUAAGUUAGAGGUGAAAUCCCGAGGCUCAACUUCGGAAUUGCAUCUGAUACUGUUCGGCGAGAGAGUAGUUGCGGUAGGCGGAAUGUAUGGUGUAGCGGUGAAAUGCUUAGAGAUCAGACAGAACACCGAGUGCGAAGGCAGCUUACCAAGCUACUUCUGACGUUGAGGCACGAAAGCGUGGGGAGCAAACAGGAUUAGAUACCCCAGUAGUC